GACGAACGCUGGCGGCGUGCCUAAUACAUGCAAGUAGAACGCACAGUUUAUACCGUAGCUUGCUACACCAUAGACUGUGAGUUGCGAACGGGUGAGUAACGCGUAGGUAACCUGCCUGGUAGCGGGGGAUAACUAUUGGAAACGAUAGCUAAUACCGCAUAAUAUUGAUUAUUGCAUGAUAAUUAAUUGAAAGGUGCAAUUGCACCACUACCAGAUGGACCUGCGUUGUAUUAGCUAGUAGGUGAGGUAACGGCUCACCUAGGCGACGAUACAUAGCCGAACGGAGAGGGUGAUCGGCCACACUGGGACUGAGACACGGCCCAGACUCCUACGGGAGGCAGCAGUAGGGAAUCUUCGGCAAUGGACGAAAGUCUGACCGAGCAACGCCGCGGGAGUGAAGAAGGUUUUCGGAUCGUAAAGCUCUGUUGUAAGAGAAGAACGGGUGUGAGAGUGGAAAGUUCACACUGUGACGGUAUCUUACCAGAAAGGGACGGCUAACUACGUG
RNAcentral lists this ribosomal RNA (505 nucleotides) under uncultured bacterium. RNAcentral describes it as "partial 16S ribosomal RNA". It matches the Rfam family "Bacterial small subunit ribosomal RNA", at positions 28 to 507 of the family's 1533-position model. The record is from RNAcentral.